Molecule: ribosomal RNA, 598 nt
Filed under: uncultured bacterium
Lineage: Bacteria
Description: bacterial SSU rRNA
Rfam family: Bacterial small subunit ribosomal RNA
Source: RNAcentral
CCUACGGGAGGCAGCAGUGGGGAAUCUUGCGCAAUGGGCGAAAGCCUGACGCAGCAACGCCGCGUGCGGGAAGAAGGCUUUCGGGCUGUAAACCGCUUUCAGCAGGAACGAAAAUGACGGUACCUGCAGAAGAAGGAGCGGCCAACUAUGUGCCAGCAGCCGCGGUGAUACAUAGGCUUCAAGCGUUGUCCGGAUUUAUUGGGCGUAAAGAGUUCGUAGGCGGUCGAGUAAGUCGGGUGUGAAAAUUCUGGGCUCAACCCAGAGACGCCACCCGAUACUGCUUGACUUGAGUUCGAUAGGGGAGUGGGGAAUUCCUAGUGUAGCGGUGAAAUGCGCAGAUAUUAGGAGGAACACCGGUGGCGAAGGCGCCACUCUGGAUCGAUACUGACGCUGAGGAACGAAAGCAUGGGUAGCAAACAGGAUUAGAUACCCUGGUAGUCCAUGCCGUAAACGGUGGGCACUAGGUGUGGGUUUCUAUUAACGAAAUCCGCGCCGUCGCUAACGCAUUAAGUGCCCCGCCUGGGGAGUACGGUCGCAAGACUAAAACUCAAAUGAAAUUGGUAGCGUUGAGAGUUGCGAGACGACGACGAGGGAGAGG